RNAcentral lists this transfer RNA (73 nucleotides) under Fidelibacterota bacterium. RNAcentral describes it as "tRNA-Thr". It matches the Rfam family "tRNA". Rfam says of the family: Transfer RNA (tRNA) molecules are approximately 80 nucleotides in length. Their secondary structure includes four short double-helical elements and three loops (D, anti-codon, and T loops). Lineage: Bacteria; Pseudomonadati; Fidelibacterota. The record is from RNAcentral.
GCCGGUGUAACUCAGCUGGUAGAGUAGAUCAUUCGUAAUGAUCAAGUCGCUGGUUCAAAUCCAGUCACCGGCU